GAUGAACGCUGGCGGCGUGCCUAAUACAUGCAAGUCGAACGGGGUAUUUGAGCAAUCGAAUACUUAGUGGCGAACGGGUGAGUAACGCGUUGGUGACCUGCCCCGAAGCGGGGGAUAACAGCCUGAAAGGGUUGCUAAUACCGCAUACGAUUAUGAGAGACUAGAAGCUUGUAAUCAAAGGAGAAAUCCACUUUGGGAGGGGCCUGCGUCCCAUCAGCUAGUUGGUAGGGUAAAAGCCUACCAAGGCGAAGACGGGUAGGGGACCUGAGAGGGUGACCCCCCACAAUGGAACUGAAACACGGUCCAUACACCUACGGGUGGCAGCAGUAGGGGAUAUUGCACAAUGGGCGAAAGCCUGAUGCAGCAACGCCGCGUGAGUGAUGAAGGCCCUCGGGUCGUAAAACUCUUUUCAAGAGGAAGAGGAAGGACGGUACUCUUGGAAUAAGCCUCGGCUAACUACGUG
This 463-nucleotide ribosomal RNA is filed under the name uncultured organism. RNAcentral's name for it is "bacterial SSU rRNA". It matches the Rfam family "Bacterial small subunit ribosomal RNA", at positions 28 to 507 of the family's 1533-position model. The record is from RNAcentral.